UUCGCAAUGCCCGAAAGGGUGACGAAGCGACGCCGCGUGUGGGAAGAAGGCCUUCGGGUUGUAAACCACUGUUGGGAGUUAGGAAGUGUGGAGGUGUUAAUAGUGCUUUCACUUGACUAAAGCUCCAGAGGAAGCCACGGCUAACUCUGUGCCAGCAGCCGCGGUAAUACAGAGGCGGCAAGCGUUGUUCGGAAUUAUUGGGCGUAAAGAGCACGUAGGCGGCUCUGCAAGUCAGCUGUGAAAGCCUUCUGCUUAACGGAAGAACGGCAGUUGAAACUACAGGGCUUGAGUGCGGGAGGGGAGAGUGGAACUUCUGGUGGAGCGGUGAAAUGCGUAGAUAUCAGAAGGAACGCCGGCGGCGAAAGCGGCUCUCUGGUCCGUAACUGACGCUGAGUGUGCGAAAGCUAGGGGAGCAAACGGGAUUAGAUACCCCGGUAGUCCUAGCCGUAAACGAUGGGCACUAAGUAGAGGGGUUUU
RNAcentral lists this ribosomal RNA (477 nucleotides) under uncultured bacterium. RNAcentral's name for it is "bacterial SSU rRNA". It matches the Rfam family "Bacterial small subunit ribosomal RNA", at positions 365 to 832 of the family's 1533-position model. The record is from RNAcentral.